RNAcentral lists this ribosomal RNA (466 nucleotides) under uncultured bacterium. Its description in RNAcentral is "partial 16S ribosomal RNA". It matches the Rfam family "Bacterial small subunit ribosomal RNA", at positions 28 to 507 of the family's 1533-position model. The record is from RNAcentral.
GAUGAACGCUGGCGGCGUGCCUAACACAUGCAAGUCGAACGGUAAGAGCAUGCUUGUGUGUGGUUAUCGUGGGGAAAGCGGGUGUGUAACGCGUGAGUAACCUACCCUUUACUGGGGGAGGAACGCGAGAAAGUGGGGAAAAUACCACAUCUGAACUCCUCCGGAAGGAAGAGGGGUGGAAGCUCGCGUGGAGUGGGUGGGGGCGCGGCUCUUUGGCUCGUUGGUGGGGGAGCGGCCUACAAAGGCAAUGUAGGGUAGCCGGGUUGUGAGAGGGACCAGCCACAUUGGGACUGAGAUACGGCCCAGACUCCUACGGGAGGCAGCAGUGGGGAAUCUUGCACAAUGGGCGGAAGCCUGAUGCAGCGACGCCGCGUGCGGGAUGAAGGCCUUCGGGUUGUAAACCGCUUUCAGCUGAGACGAAGCGUGAGUGACGGUACCGGCAGAAGAAGCACCGGCUAACUACGUG